CAAGGAUAAAAGUAGAGGAAAUACUUUUAUUAGAGAAAUAUGGUUACACCUUGAAGAAAUAGAAAUUCAAGAUUUGAGACACAAAUGCAUACAAUGCUUACAAGUUGUGGGACCCCUUUCUUUACAAGAAUUUGGAAUUCACAGCUUGCUACUCUAAAGAUUUCAAGCUCCAAGGCUUGGAUAAUAGCCAAAUAGUAGCAAAAUAGAUUAGGCUUAGAUUUCAAGUUCCAAGGCUGGGAUAAUAGCUACAAAUAGUAGCAAGAUAGAUUAGGCUUGGUGCAAGUCCCUUCUACUCUUCCCUCUUCUCUUCUCUUCUCUUCUUCCUCGAUUUUCGUGACCCACAAAGCUCCAAGAAGGCAGCCUGCACCUGCAAAAGUGAAACACCAAAAGAGGUUAGAAAAGUUAUCAACCAAAAGAAUCCAAAGGAGUACAAUUUCAUCCAAAUAGCAAGUCUUGCUGCAAUCUACCAAGGGAAGGAUCAGAUAUCCCCCAAAUCUUACAAGAGAAGGAAAGAGACAACUUGAGGCCAGAUUAUGAGCUCAAUUGAGAGCACCAAAUGAGGAAAACAUGCAGAAACCCAUGAGAUCAGCCCUUUAGGAUGCCAAGAAUUUCACCAAAGUAGGCAUGGAAGCCUACUAACAAACUUGAAAGAAAGCCAACCUAGCAGCCAAAAAUAGGAGAGUUUCUCCCCAACAUUUCAGGCACAAGAUGCCAAGAAUGAGAGCUAUAUAAACAGCCCCCUCUCCACUCCAUCCUCCCCACUUUUCGAUUCCCAAACUUUACAUAUCUUAAGAGAGCAGCAGAGGGGAGGAAGAGGAGCAAGAGGAGGGAACAAGCAAGUAUUGACAGCAAACCAACAGCCACGACUAAGGAGGAUUUUUCGAACAAGGUAAACCUCACCCCACACCAUCUAUGCAUCAUAUAGAGCAAAUAGAUAGCGCAAGAACUUAAGAUAGCAAUACGAUUCCUCCACAACAACAUGAGCAAGCAUCACCUAAGCAUAGUCUCAACAAUCAUUCUGCCAAGAACCACAAUAUAGAGUUUCUGCCGAAACCCCGAUAAGUUGACACAGUAAGCAAAUCCUCGCAAGAUCAAAGCUUGAACAUCACCAAUAAGCCAAGAAAAGAUUUCACAUAUACUUCUCAAACACCAAAGUCCCCAGACAAAGGGUAGUUACACUACUGCGGGAAAAUUAAAUGAAGGAGAUAAGAGAAGUUUAUAAAAGACUUAGCUUAAUCGUGGGGCGCCCCGAAUCACACCGAAUAGAGCUGACAGCGGCGAGUAUCAGCGGAACCCCGAACGGGUUCCGCAGAGCAGCUGCAGGCGUGCGGCGAUAGAGUGGAGCGCGGACGCCGCUGCUUCUCUAUUCUCGAUCGUAGCGGUAAGGAAGUGAGAGAAAGGAGACCCGAAUCGCCGUGGGGGAAGACGCCGGCAGAGCCGGCGACCGGCGUGAGACCGUCGGAAGUGGCGAUUUCGCCGAGGAAAGGUAGGCGAAGAAGCUGCUUUACAUUUCUAAUUUGGGGAAAAUUGGAAAAGUAAUACGAAGGAGAAGGGGUGGAGGAGGGAGUAACCGCUGGAGUAGUGCUAUGGCGACGCAGAGCAUUGUCGAUUUCGCCGGAGUAGCGCGAGGAGCGGCGCCACUGACCUCCCCCUUCACUUGGGGUUUUCUUCCAAAAUUUUGUUGAAUGAGGAAGUAUUAGAGAGGGAAAACCGAUGGUGGAGAAAGAAGGAUUUUGAGGAAUUGUGAAGAAUGUGAUUUGGGGAAAAGUAGAUUGGAUUUGAAAGUGAGAAGAAGAGGAAAAGAAAAUAAAGAUGUUGAGGGAGAAAGAGAGUCCGACGGAUGGGAGUAUAUGUGGUCCCUUAGUGGAUAAAUUAGAUUGGGCCAAGGACUUAAUCAAAAGUGGGCCAAAAUUGUGUGUAGAAAUACUAUACAAAUUAAGUGGUUUGGGCUCUAAUUAGUAAAUGGACCGAUUUUAAUUAUUGUUAUGCAGGGCCGAGAUUGAAUUGUUGGGCUUGGAAAUAAAUCAUGUUGGAAGGGAAUUAAUUUAAGGAAUGGAGCUUGGAGCUCAAUUAAAUUAAUUCCCAACUAAGUUACUAAGUUUCGAAAAUGGAAAAGUGUGGAAGCGAGAGACGUGAAUGGCCGACCGGCGUCGCCCCGGGACGCCAUGAGCGGCCUUAAGAAAAUUCAAAGAAAGGAAUUAGAAGGGAUUUUUCCAAGAAUCCAUAUUUUAUUAAAUAAGUGCCCGAGUUUUGUUUUCGAGAAAAUAGAAUUACUCCGAACUUAGUAAAGUGAAUAAAUAAAUUCUGCAGAGUAGUGAAGCCGAUGUAGGAUUAAGAAAAUCCUAUAAGCCAAGACUAAGAUAUAGGUGCUAUCCAAUAGGAUGCAUGCAUUCUUUCUCAAGAAAAAUAGUUCAAGUACUAAUUAGCGUGCUACGUUAUUUAUUUUCAAAGGAUAAAUUGCUCAAGGGAAAGUGAGGCCAAAGCGAGUAAUUGAAUUGAGGAAUAAGCAUAUCAGGUUAAACGUCACGAGGAUGGAGUGAUGAUCAGAGUCGAUGUUAUUAAAUAAUCAAGUUGAUCUUCCAACGAUUCGUGUGUUCAUACACGAAGUCGUUUAGUAAGGACUUAUUCCGUUAUGCUUUUGUGAAGUGAGAAUUGUAGAAUCUCACCAUCAAACUCUGAUUUAUUGAUGAGAUGUUUAUCCUAUUUCCAAGAUCAUGUAAUUGAAUACUUGACUUCUAUUUUAUGAUAUCAAUCGACUUGACCUUUGUA
Molecule: long non-coding RNA, 2769 nt
Organism: Salvia splendens (bonfire salvia)
Lineage: Eukaryota; Viridiplantae; Streptophyta; Magnoliopsida; Lamiales; Lamiaceae
Exons: 2
Source: RefSeq, a predicted model, not a curated record